GCUGGAUGAUAGUAACAAACAUUAGUAAAAGGAUGUAAAAUUUGAAUUACAGUUCUCAUAUGAAAUGCAAUCAUUAUAUUAAUAUAUAUGUAAAUUAUAUCUUACACUAGCUAACAAUUACCCCCACCCCCUUCCUAAUAAAAUCACAACAUACACAAGCUAUAAUUCAAUAGUGUACUCGUAGUUUAGAUAAAUCUACAAAUCUACCUCUGGUAUUAGUAGGAUAUUUAAGGUAAAAAAAAACCAACUCACUUUUUGGCUUUCUUGAAGUACCUCAUGUUUAUCAACUAGAAAAUAUCUAAUAUCAAAAUACUCCAGUAUAUUCUGUAAAUAACUUCUCAGCAUGCAUGGUCAAUAGAAAUGUCAUGACCUAAAGCCCAUAUUCCUCUGCUACAUUUGGUUUGCUAAUGUCACCGCCGGCCAUUCAUGCACAUGCUAAGGUCCUCUAUCAGAUGUCAAUCACUAACUGGAUGCUGAUAAGAUGUUCGGGGUGUGCUAAUAAUAGUAACUGUGUGAAAUUCGAGAGCUUUCAACAGCAGAUCACUGCUUUAGGAACAGAUGCAAAAUGUGGUCGCAAAUUUAAUUUAAGAUCAACGCUUCAUGUGUAUACUUUAUGAAGGUGAACAGAAAUAUUGUUUGGAAAUUGCAGUUGCAAACUUCGCAGGAUGCUUGCAUCAAGGUGAUGAUGAUUGGCAGUGACAAAAUAUUUUGCCUUGUGGAUUUUGGUUUGAAAUCACUGCAUUUGAAUUGUUUGCUGGUCUGGUGGAUGGGUAGCAUUAAUUUGGACAGAGCUUGAUGAGAUGAAAGAUGCUUGAAGAUUAAGAUUCUAUAGAAGAUCUGGACAUCCCCCCUGGGAGGAAAUCAAUGAGGCCACAGAAAAGUUCAAAAGCCAUCCAGCCAGUCACACAGUAUGAACAGAAGAUAAACAGAACAGAAGAUAAACCUUGAUUCAUGUCAACCAUGUAUCGAAGACCGAAUUAAGUGAAAGUGCUUUCUGGAAAAUGCAGCUCUACUUGGGAACUCCAUCCUGAAUUUGAUGGAUGCGAGCUUUAUGUUUUUAGUAAUUAUAAAAUCAUAUGCACUGAGACAAUUAUUAAUAUAGUUAAAUUUUUAAUUAUAUAAACAUCUAAUCCAAUUACAAACUAAACUUGAUAUUUAAUAUAAAAAGAAAUAUUAAUAAAUUGGUAUUCUUAAUUACAUGCCUAUGUAUGUCUAAGCUGUUAUUUUGAAUUGUAACCCAAAAAUGCCGCGAUAUAAAAUAUUAAAAAUUCAAACUCUUUUUUACUUUAUAUCGAGUAAUCAACUUAGAAAAUUUUAGCUGAUCAUCAUCAGGACUGAGCGAUAGUCAAGUACUCGAGUACUUGUUAACAUCCUUAAUAUUUACGUAAAGUAUAACAUGUUUAAAUGCUUAUUUAAUUUAAGAUUACCGGUAUUUUGCUUAUUACUGUUUUUACUUUCAAUUGGAACAUUCUUCAAGUACCAUGUAAAGGUUUCAGUUAAAGAGAAAAGAGGAACGUUCCUCAAGAUUCCUCGUGAAGAUUUCAGUUGUAGUGAAAAGAGGAACGUUCCUCAGAUGACUUGUCAAGAUUUCUGUUGAAGUGAAAAGAGGAACGUUCCUCAGAUUCUUUGUGAAGAUUUCUGUUGAAGUGAAAAGAGGAACGUUCCUCAGAUGAAGUGUAGAGAUUUUAGUUUAGGUAAAGAGGAACGUUCCUCUGAUGCUUCAUAAGUUUUUAUAAGAAUAAGA
This is a long non-coding RNA of Magallana angulata, 1744 nucleotides long. RefSeq lists it as uncharacterized. The transcript has 3 exons. NCBI's taxonomy places the organism in Eukaryota, Metazoa, Mollusca, Bivalvia, Ostreida, Ostreidae. The record is from RefSeq and is a predicted model, not a curated record.